RNAcentral lists this ribosomal RNA (497 nucleotides) under uncultured bacterium. Its description in RNAcentral is "partial 16S ribosomal RNA". It matches the Rfam family "Bacterial small subunit ribosomal RNA", at positions 28 to 507 of the family's 1533-position model. The record is from RNAcentral.
GAUGAACGCUGGCGGCGUGCCUAAUACAUGCAAGUCGAGCGAACGGACGAGAAGCUUGCUUCUCUGAUGCUAGCGGCGGACGGGUGAGUAACACGUGGAUAACCUACCUAUAAGACUGGGAUAACUUCGGGAAACCGGAGCUAAUACCGGAUAAUAUUUUGAACCGCAUGGUUCAAAAGUAAAAGACGGUCUUGCUGUCACUUAUAGAUGGAACCGCGCUGCAUUAGCUAGUUGGUAAGGUAACGGCUUACCAAGGCAACGAUGCAUAGCCGACCUGAGAGGGUGAUCGGCCACACUGGAACUGAGACACGGUCCAGACUCCUACGGGAGGCAGCAGUAGGGAAUCUUCCGCAAUGGGCGAAAGCCUGACGGAGCAACGCCGCGUGAGUGAUGAAGGUCUUCGGAUCGUAAAACUCUGUUAUUAGGGAAGAACAUAUGUGUAAGUAACUGUGCACAUCUUGACGGUACCUAAUCAGAAAGCCACGGCUAACUACGUG